This 203-nucleotide ribosomal RNA is filed under the name uncultured bacterium. RNAcentral's name for it is "partial 16S ribosomal RNA". It matches the Rfam family "Bacterial small subunit ribosomal RNA", at positions 1302 to 1500 of the family's 1533-position model. The record is from RNAcentral.
AGUCUGCAACUCGACUGCACGAAGCUGGAAUCGCUAGUAAUCGCGGAUCAGCACGCCGCGGUGAAUACAUUCCCGGGCCUUGUACACACCGCCCGUCACACCAUGGAAGUCUGCAAUGCCCGAAGCCGGUGGCCUAACCACUUAUGUGGAAGGAGCCGUCUAAGGCAGGGCAGAUGACUGGGGUGAAGUCGUAACAAGGUAAC